This 447-nucleotide ribosomal RNA is filed under the name uncultured bacterium. RNAcentral's name for it is "partial 16S ribosomal RNA". It matches the Rfam family "Bacterial small subunit ribosomal RNA", at positions 330 to 793 of the family's 1533-position model. The record is from RNAcentral.
UCCAGACUCCUACGGGAGGCAGCAGUGGGGGAUAUUGCACAAUGGGGGGAACCCUGAUGCAGCGACGCCGCGUGGGUGAAGGAGCGUUUCGGCGCGUAAAGCCCUAUCGGCAGGGAAGAAGGAGGACGGUACCUGACUAAGAAGCCCCGGCUAACUACGUGCCAGCAGCCGCGGUAAUACGUAGGGGGCAAGCGUUAUCCGGAUUUACUGGGUGUAAAGGGGGCGCAGACGGCAGCGCAAGCCAGGAGUGAAAGCCCGGGGCCCAACCCCGGGACUGCUCUUGGAACUGCGCGGCUGGAGUGCAGGAGGGGCAGGCGGAAUUCCUGGUGCAGCGGUGAAAUGCGUAGAUAUCAGGAGGAACACCGGUGGCGAAGGCGGCCUGCUGGACUGCGACUGACGUUGAGGCCCGAAAGCGUGGGGAGCAAACAGGAUUAGAUACCCGAGUAG